Molecule: ribosomal RNA, 494 nt
Filed under: uncultured bacterium
Lineage: Bacteria
Description: partial 16S ribosomal RNA
Rfam family: Bacterial small subunit ribosomal RNA
Source: RNAcentral
GACGAACGCUGGCGGCGUGCUUAACACAUGCGAGUCGAACGGAAAGGCCUGCUUUCCCUUGUGGAUUGCGGGUACUCGAGUGGCGAACGGGUGAGUAACACGUGAGUGAUCUGCCCCCAACUUGGGUAUAAGCCUGGGAAACUGGGUCUAAUUCCCGAUAGGACUGCAGGGUGGUGCCUGUGGUGGAAAACGAUUUUCUAGUGGUUGGGGAUGAGCUCGCGGCCUAUCAGCUUGUUGGUGGGGUAAUGGCCUACCAAGGCGGCGACGGGUAGCCGACCUGAGAGGGUGGACGGCCACAUUGGGACUGAGAUACGGCCCAGACUCCUACGGGAGGCAGCAGUGGGGAAUAUUGCACAAUGGGCGGAAGCCUGAUGCAGCGACGCCGCGUGGGGGAUGACGGCCUUCGGGUUGUAAACUCCUUUCGACCGCGAGGAAGCCACCUGGUUGGAAGGGUGGUGACGGUAGUGGUAGAAGAAGCACCGGCUAACUACGUG